This is a non-coding RNA of Rattus norvegicus (Norway rat), 1064 nucleotides long. NCBI's taxonomy places the organism in Eukaryota, Metazoa, Chordata, Mammalia, Rodentia, Muridae. The record is from RefSeq and is a predicted model, not a curated record.
UGGAGUUCUGGCCUGCGGCUGCGUCACAGACAACCGGACCGCGCCGGCCAAGGAGACGCACCCAAUGGAGUGCCGCCUGGGGGGCGUGGUUAUGCGCAGCUCCGCCCUUAUUCCCAGGGUAGAAAUAGAUACUUGCUUAGUUGAUGAGUUCUUUGGCUUCCCUGCACUGUGUGGUGGUGAGAUGUCUGUUCUGGGCCUAUCAGCCCUGCUAUAUGUUCUUUCCUGGAGUGCAGCCUUCCAUUCCUGUACUAUCUGUGGCCAUUUCACCAUGCUGACCGACAGCUGGGGCUGUCUGUAAUGGCUGGAGCCUGGGAGGCCCCAACAAUGGAGGUCAGAAGAAGAGACAAUGGACCUCUGUUGGUCCAGCUGUCCUCAUCAACCAAACAGGAGCAGCUGACCAGAGGAGCAGCUAGGGACUAACAUGGCAGCUGGGAGCCCAGGAGCCACAGGUUCGUGUGAAGGGAACCCGCAACAUUUGUUGUUUUGAUUUUUGGGGCAUGAGGCACAUGCCACAAUGCAUAUGUGAAGAUCCGGAAGUCAGCUCUGGUCGGACAAGUUUUCCCCUCCACCUUUGUGUAAGUUCCAAGGAUUGAACUCAGUCUCUCUGGCAUGAGCACCAACAGCAUGUAUUUGCCAGCCAAGUCCUAAUGUGGGCUGACAGUUUGGAAGAAUGCCUCUGAUGUGUCUACUGUUAGAUAAUUUUCAGAAAACAGGAUAUAGAUUUUCAAAGAUGAGAUGGGGAAAAAAUUGUCUGUAGGAGUGUGAGGUCAGUCAGGAAUUACUACCAGCCAUGGGUAGUGGGGCUGAUCUGGAGAAGACACUGCCUUCAGUUCAGGGGACAAAGGCAAUUCAUUGUUCUUAGAAGUUUGCGGGAGGGGGCUGGAGAGAUGGCUCGGUGUUUAAGAGUACUGACUGCUCUUCCCGAGGUCCUGAGUUCAAUUCCCAGCAACCACAUGGUGGCUCACAACCAUCCGUAAUGAGAUCUGAUGCCCUCUUCUGGUGUGUCUGAAGAUAGUGUACUUAUAUAUAAUAAAUAAAUAAAUCUUAAAAAAAAAAAAAAAGAA